RNAcentral lists this ribosomal RNA (467 nucleotides) under uncultured bacterium. Its description in RNAcentral is "partial 16S ribosomal RNA". It matches the Rfam family "Bacterial small subunit ribosomal RNA", at positions 28 to 507 of the family's 1533-position model. The record is from RNAcentral.
GACGAACGCUGGCGGCGUGCUUAACGCAUGCAAGUCGAACGGAAAGGCCUCUUUCGGGGGGUACUCGAGUGGCGAACGGGUGAGUAACACGUGAGUAACCUGCCCUUGACUUUGGGAUAACUUCAGGAAACUGGGGCUAAUACCGGAUAGGAGCUCCUGCUGCAUGGUGGGGGUUGGAAAGUUUCGGCGGUUGGGGAUGGACUCGCGGCUUAUCAGCUUGUUGGUGGGGUAGUGGCUUACCAAGGCUUUGACGGGUAGCCGGCCUGAGAGGGUGACCGGCCACAUUGGGACUGAGAUACGGCCCAGACUCCUACGGGAGGCAGCAGUGGGGAAUAUUGCACAAUGGGUGGAAGCCGGAUGCAGCAACGCCGUGUGCGGGAUGACGGCCUUCGGGUUGUAAACCGCUUUCGCUCAUGACGAAGCUUUGUGUGACGGUAGUGGGUAAAGAAGCACCGGCUAACUACGUG